AAAAGAACUUUGAAGAGAGAGUUCAAAAGGGCGUGAAACCGCUUAGAAUAAAACGGACGGAGCCGUCCGGAGCCUUCGGGAAUCAGUCGAAACUUGAACGAAAAUUUGGUCGCUACUAGAACGCAAGUCUAGUCGAUCGGAUCGGUAGUUUAGUUCUGACGCAUUUCUCGUCGGUAUGCACUGCGACCGAUACGAAAGGUCGACGAAGUGAAUUGAUUGAGGUCGAAUGGUCGCAAGGCUAGUCGUUUCCAGUCUUUUUACAUUGAGUCGUCGAACCGCAGUAUGUAUCGAGCGUCCCUUUAAUGAAUAUGAAUAUCGGCUGUAAGAGCUCGCUCGAGCGAUGGAUAGUCGGUUCUAGUCGGUCGGUUACUUGCUCGCAGGUACCGAUGACUCGGUGAUCGAUUUAGAAGUCGUCGGCGACGUAUACGAUAUUCGGGCGUCAGCAGUGUCAGUGUCGGCCACCCGUCCGACCCGUCUUGAAACACGGACCAAGGAGUCUAACAUAUGCGCGAGCCAAUGAGUGUUAAAAACUCACGGGCGCAAUAAAAGUGAACGAAGUCUUAUCGGCUUCUAAGAUACGAUCCUUUAGUUAAUUUCGAUUGACUUUAGGCGCAGUAUCGUCCCGUCCCGAUCGCAUAUCGAUAGGGCGGAGACAGAGUGCAUACGUUGGGACCCGAAAGAUGGUGAACUAUGCCUGAGCAGAGCGAAGCCAGAGGAAACUCUGGUGGAGGUUCGUAGCGGUUCUGACGUGCAAAUCGAUCGUCAGAC
RNAcentral lists this ribosomal RNA (768 nucleotides) under Metaporcelaimus marinensis. RNAcentral describes it as "eukaryotic LSU rRNA". It matches the Rfam family "Eukaryotic large subunit ribosomal RNA", at positions 367 to 910 of the family's 3401-position model. The record is from RNAcentral. Lineage: Eukaryota; Metazoa; Nematoda; Enoplea; Dorylaimida; Aporcelaimidae.